UCUGUCAGUGAUGUUCUUCUUUUUUACCUACAUUGUUUGACUUGAGAUAUGAGAAGAAAAAAAAACUUUUAACGCUGAGGCAGA
This is a small nucleolar RNA of Crotalus tigris (Tiger rattlesnake), 84 nucleotides long. RefSeq annotates it as small nucleolar RNA SNORD34. The transcript has a single exon. The record is from RefSeq and is a predicted model, not a curated record. NCBI's taxonomy places the organism in Eukaryota, Metazoa, Chordata, Lepidosauria, Squamata, Viperidae.